GAACUUUCACGCCAAUUCGAAUGA
This 24-nucleotide non-coding RNA is filed under the name Arabidopsis thaliana (thale cress). The record is from RNAcentral. Lineage: Eukaryota; Viridiplantae; Streptophyta; Magnoliopsida; Brassicales; Brassicaceae.